GCAGUGGUGGCUCAGUGGUAGAAUUUGUGCCUUCCAUUCAGGAGGCCUGGGUUCAAUUCCCAGCCAAGGUA
Molecule: transfer RNA, 71 nt
Filed under: Loxodonta africana (African savanna elephant)
Lineage: Eukaryota; Metazoa; Chordata; Mammalia; Proboscidea; Elephantidae
Rfam family: tRNA
About the family: Transfer RNA (tRNA) molecules are approximately 80 nucleotides in length.
Source: Rfam by way of RNAcentral